CUUACACAUGCAAGUCGAACGAUGAAGCCCUUCGGGGUGGAUUAGUGGCGAACGGGUGAGUAACACGUGGGCAAUCUGCCCUUCACUCUGGGACAAGCCCUGGAAACGGGGUCUAAUACCGGAUAAUACCUGCCUGGGCAUCUGGGUGGGUUAAAAGCUCCGGCGGUGAAGGAUGAGCCCGCGGCCUAUCAGCUUGUUGGUGAGGUAGUGGCUCACCAAGGCGACGACGGGUAGCCGGCCUGAGAGGGCGACCGGCCACACUGGGACUGAGACACGGCCCAGACUCCUACGGGAGGCAGCAGUGGGGAAUAUUGCACAAUGGGCGAAAGCCUGAUGCAGCGACGCCGCGUGAGGGAUGACGGCCUUCGGGUUGUAAACCUCUUUCAGCAGGGAAGAAGCGAAAGUGACGGUACCUGCAGAAGAAGCGCCGGCUAACUACGUGCCAGCAGCCGCGGUAAUACGUAGGGCGCAAGCGUUGUCCGGAAUUAUUGGGCGUAAAGAGCUCGUAGGCGGCUUGUCACGUCGGUUGUGAAAGCCCGGGGCUUAACCCCGGGUCUGCAGUCGAUACGGGCAGGCUAGAGUGUGGUAGGGGAGAUCGGAAUUCCUGGUGUAGCGGUGAAAUGCGCAGAUAUCAGGAGGAACACCGGUGGCGAAGGCGGAUCUCUGGGCCAUUACUGACGCUGAGGAGCGAAAGCGUGGGGAGCGAACAGGAUUAGAUACCCUGGUAGUCCACGCCGUAAACGGUGGGAACUAGGUGUUGGCGACAUUCCACGUCGUCGGUGCCGCAGCUAACGCAUUAAGUUCCCCGCCUGGGGAGUACGGCCGCAAGGCUAAAACUCAAAGGAAUUGACGGGGGCCCGCACAAGCAGCGGAGCAUGUGGCUUAAUUCGACGCAACGCGAAGAACCUUACCAAGGCUUGACAUCGCCCGGAAAGCAUCAGAGAUGGUGCCCCCCUUGUGGUCGGGUGACAGGUGGUGCAUGGCUGUCGUCAGCUCGUGUCGUGAGAUGUUGGGUUAAGUCCCGCAACGAGCGCAACCCUUGUUCUGUGUUGCCAGCAUGCCCUUCGGGGUGAUGGGGACUCACAGGAGACUGCCGGGGUCAACUCGGAGGAAGGUGGGGACGACGUCAAGUCAUCAUGCCCCUUAUGUCUUGGGCUGCACACGUGCUACAAUGGCAGGUACAAUGAGCUGCGAUGCCGCGAGGCGGAGCGAAUCUCAAAAAGCCUGUCUCAGUUCGGAUUGGGGUCUGCAACUCGACCCCAUGAAGUCGGAGUUGCUAGUAAUCGCAGAUCAGCAUUGCUGCGGUGAAUACGUUCCCGGGCCUUGUACACACCGCCCGUCACGUCACGAAAGUCGGUAACACCCGAAGCCGGUGGCCCAACCCCCUUGUGGGGAGGGAGCUGUCGAAGGUGGGACUGGCGAUUGGGACGAAGUCGUAACA
Molecule: ribosomal RNA, 1441 nt
Filed under: Streptomyces phaeochromogenes
Lineage: Bacteria; Bacillati; Actinomycetota; Actinomycetes; Kitasatosporales; Streptomycetaceae
Description: bacterial SSU rRNA
Rfam family: Bacterial small subunit ribosomal RNA
Source: RNAcentral